Molecule: ribosomal RNA, 471 nt
Filed under: uncultured Bacteroidales bacterium
Lineage: Bacteria; Pseudomonadati; Bacteroidota; Bacteroidia; Bacteroidales
Description: bacterial SSU rRNA
Rfam family: Bacterial small subunit ribosomal RNA
Source: RNAcentral
UGCGUUCCAUUAGACAGUUGGCGGGGUAACGGCCCACCAAACCUUCGAUGGAUAGGGGUUCUGAGAGGAAGGUCCCCCACAUUGGAACUGAGACACGGUCCAAACUCCUACGGGAGGCAGCAGUGAGGAAUAUUGGUCAAUGGGCGAGAGCCUGAACCAGCCAAGUAGCGUGAAGGAUGACCGCCCUAUGGGUUGUAAACUUCUUUUAUAUGGGAAUAAAGUUUGCCACGUGUGGCAUUUUGUAUGUACCAUAUGAAUAAGGAUCGGCUAACUCCGUGCCAGCAGCCGCGGUAAUACGGAGGAUCCGAGCGUUAUCCGGAUUUAUUGGGUUUAAAGGGAGCGUAGGUGGACAUGUAAGUCAGUUGUGAAAGUUUGCGGCUCAACCGUAAAAUUGCAGUUGAUACUGCGUGUCUUGAGUACAGUAGAGGUGGGCGGAAUUCGUGGUGUAGCGGUGAAAUGCUUAGAUAUCAC